GAUGAACGCUGGCGGCGUGCCUAAUACAUGCAAGUCGAGCGAACAGACGAGGAGCUUGCUCCUUUGACGUUAGCGGCGGACGGGUGAGUAACACGUGGGUAACCUACCUAUAAGACUGGGAUAACUUCGGGAAACCGGAGCUAAUACCGGAUAAUAUUUCGAACCGCAUGGUUCGAUAGUGAAAGAUGGCUUUGCUAUCACUUAUAGAUGGACCUGCGCCGUAUUAGCUAGUUGGUAAGGUAACGGCUUACCAAGGCAACGAUACGUAGCCGACCUGAGAGGGUGAUCGGCCACACUGGAACUGAGACACGGUCCAGACUCCUACGGGAGGCAGCAGUAGGGAAUCUUCCGCAAUGGGCGAAAGCCUGACGGAGCAACGCCGCGUGAGUGAUGAAGGUCUUCGGAUCGUAAAACUCUGUUAUUAGGGAAGAACAAACGUGUAAGUAACUGUGCACGUCUUGACGGUACCUAACCAGAAAGCCACGGCUAACUACGUG
RNAcentral lists this ribosomal RNA (497 nucleotides) under uncultured bacterium. RNAcentral describes it as "partial 16S ribosomal RNA". It matches the Rfam family "Bacterial small subunit ribosomal RNA", at positions 28 to 507 of the family's 1533-position model. The record is from RNAcentral.